Long non-coding RNA from Oreochromis niloticus (Nile tilapia), 3156 nucleotides. The record is from Ensembl. Lineage: Eukaryota; Metazoa; Chordata; Actinopteri; Cichliformes; Cichlidae.
AUGCCAAGGCUUGCUGCUGUCAAUGGUUUAGAACUGCAGGAUAUUCCAGCUGAACUGUGUGAUCUCAACAUUCUGGAGAGACAUCUGAUUGCCAAAUGCAUACCAUUUGCUAAGAUUAUUCCUCUUCCAAAGGGCAGACAAAGACUCAUACGUGGUAAUGUGGUGUGUGUACCAUCUGAGGUCCAACAAACAGUUGACUGUUUACCUCGGCUCAGAAGCCAAUCGCAGAUAAUGAGGAUCAAGCUGAAAAGACGACUGUGCUACAAAGGCCAUCAGCUGUUCCAGACUGUCACCUGGUCUAAACUGAUCCAAGCCCUGCGUAAACUCAAACAGAUUCAUCCACAGUACACAGAUAUUAUUAUCAGAGAUGAUGCAUUGCUUUGUGAUCCAACGUUACCUGAUGAUGACAGCAGUGAUGAAGCCAGCAUGGGAAGUGAUGAUUAUGAUGAAGCAGAUCUAAUGGAAAUUGACAACUAUGAAAAAGAUGCCCUUUUGUGUGAAAGUGAGUCUGAAAGUGAACAAGAUAUUAAUAUGCAACAACCAGAGGAACAAAAUCCAGAGGAACCAGAAAGUGAUUUGAACAAUGGAGGUUUUGCUCUAGAAAGUUGCCUGCAGCCUGUAGACAUUUCUGAAGAGAUUCUCUCUUUCACUGAUAACACAUAUUGUGUGGCACCUGCAGAAAGAAACAAUCCUGUUAGCUUCUUCAGAACUCCUCAUUUGGAAGCUAUGGCAUUUCCUGUGCAGUUUCCUACUGGUCAGAAUACACUGGAUGAAAAGAGACAUCUUAAACUCACACCAAGUGCUUACUUCAAGUCAAGGCUUUUCAACAUUGACGCAAGAUUUGCUAAAGAUACAAAUUACCUGUUUUUCUCACAGUUUGUUACUGAAAUACACUUGGCUAAUUCCAGCAUGACAAUACAGCUACGGAAAGGUAAAACUAUGACCAAAGACGGACGCAAAAUCACAUCAGGAAUGUUACAAAGUAAGACAGAAGUAGAGAAGCUGGUAAGAAAUAAAGAUGCAAUCAGAUUUAUGCAGCCACUCAGAGGAACUCCAGCUUACUGGCAGAAAACUACCAGAGAUUUAUUCAGUAUGGUUCGCCAAAUAGGAACACCUCAGUUCUUUGUCACAUUCUCUGCUGCUGAGAUGAGAUGGCCUGAAGUGAUUCAAGCAAUAAAGAGACAGCAAGGUGAAGAGGUUGAUUUUGAAGCCCUGGACUGGUCAGAAAAGUGUGAAAUUCUAAGAUCAAAUCCAGUAACCACCAUGCGAAUGUUUGAUAAGCGUGUUGAGGCUUUGUUCAGAGAUUUGCUUUUUUCUCCUGCACAGCCCCUUGGUGAAAUCAUUGGUUACUUUUACAGAGUUGAGUUCCAGCACAGAGGUAGUCCGCAUAUACACAUGUUGCUGUGGAUUCGAGAAAAGGUAGAAGUAGAUGUGGAUGACGACCAAACUGUCUGUGACUUUGUGGACAGAUACAUCUCAGCUCAACUCCCUGAUCCAGUAAAACAGCCUGAACUGCACAAAAAAGUCGCUGAACUACAAAAGCACAGCAAAAACCACACAAAAACAUGCUUUAAGAGUGUGAACUCUGGUUGUAGAUUUGGGUUUCCAAAACCACCAGCCACAAGAACAAUGAUUGUGAGAAAGGAUGAGGAUUCAGACACUGAAGCUGCAAAAGCCAAACUCAGACCUUUGAUGAACCUGCUGAAGGAACCUGAAGCUGCUUCUCUCACCAUAGAGCAGAUUCUGUCACGAUGCAACUUGACAAUGAAUGAGUAUGAGCAAUGCCUCCAAGACAUAAACAAGAAAACGGCGCUGAUUCUGAAACGUGACCCAAAGGACUGUUGGAUCAACAAUUACAACCCAGACCUGCUUGAAGCCUGGAACUCUAAUUUAGGUGUCUCGUUAAUCUUGAAUGCCUAUUCUUGUAUAGAAUACCUCUGUAAAUAUAUAACGAAGAAAGAAUCUGGCCUCUCUGAAUACCUGAAGACAGUUAUUGAUAACUCUGCAAAGAACACGGUCAAUGAAUGUGAUGAAAUGAGAGCUGUGAUGCAGGCUUACUCAAAAAAGAGAGAAAUCAGCGCACAAGAGUGUGUGACUCGAGUCUGUGGCCUAAAAAUGAAAAAAUGUUCCCGCAGUGUUGUAUUUGUACCAACAGAUGAUAACCCGGUAAAAAUGAGUCGCCCCAUGAGCUAUCUGGAAACCACAACACAUGACAGUUGUAAUAUUUGGAUGACAAGUUUGAGUGAUAAAUACAAAUGCAGACCUGAGACACCAGAAUAUGAGGAAAUGUCCCUGGCUGAUUUUGCUGCCCUGUGCCGGUUGGUGAGUGGUCCAAAUGAAGGAAAAGAUGUGCUUCCUCUUCUUAACCAGCUUGGAUUUGUACAAAGGCGAAAGAAUGAUAAACCAGCUAUAAUCAGGUAUUACCACUGUUCACAGGAAAAAGAUCCUGAGCAAUAUUAUGGACGACUGUUGAGACUUUACCUUCCACACAGAUCAGAGCAGGAACUGAAACCACAAUGUUUCCAAACCUAUCAGUCCUUCUACAACUCAGGUUUUGUGCGACUUCCAUGUUCAGACCACAGUGAGUCUGUGAAAAGGAUUGUAAAGAGAAAUAAAGACAAGUAUGAGAAGAACUCUGAGGAUAUUGAGAGUGCACUGGAAGAGUUUGAACAAAAUAGGGAUGUUGUGAUUGAUGAAUGGUGUAAUCUUGCUCCUGAAUCUGAAGUUGUGAGGUUGCAAUGUGAUGAGAAUCUUCCUGAGAGACAUUCUGAUGAUGAGAAUGAACAGGAGAAUGUUCCCGACUACAGUCGUCAGUCUGAUGCUGUAACAGAGAUCAGAGCCGUCAGAGAACAACCUGCAGUCGAUCCAGCUGUGGUACGUGUAAUGUAUCAGAAUCUGAACCAGAAGCAGGCCUGCGUGUUCUAUGCUAUAAGAGACUGGUGUAUUCAGCGAGUUUGUGGUUUGAACCCAGAUCCAUUUUUCUUCUAUAUCAACGGUGGUGCAGGAACUGGAAAGUCACAUCUGAUUAAAUGUAUUCACUCUGAAGCAUCAAAGAUCCUGAGCAGACUACCUGCUAAUGCAGAAGAAGCUGACAUAUCAAAUCCAACUGUUUUACUGACUUCAUUUACUGGGACACACUGUAAAAACGAUAACUAG